UUGCUCAUGAUGAGCUCAUCCAUCGUCCCCUCUUCAUGGAAGCACAUGUCGCCCGGCUCUUGUGAUCCUCCUCUUCCUCUUCCUCGUCUCUAAUUCCAAUCCGGUCUCCAUUUCGGAUCCAAAGCGGACAACAUGAUUGCCACAGUAAGUGAUCCCCAUCUCGAAUCUCAUAUCUCCUCUCCCUUUUCGUCCUCCUCGCAGCAAUCGAGUGAUCUCUGGACGCAGCGGUUUAUCGAUCUCUUCCUGGCCUUGUCGGUCUCUUUUCGGGGUGGAUUCGAUGGUUUCUUUUCUUGCUGAGGUUACAAAGCCGGAAUCGGUCGAUAAACCUCUGCAUCCGGACUUCCGCCGACAACCAUUCCUCCGUCCUCCCCCCAACCCAAAACACUCCCCCCCCAACCCCACCUUCUUCCUCCACUUGUUUUCGUCAUCUUAUAUAAUGAUUGGGCAAUGAAGAGGUGGUAGCUGUUAGGGCUAAUUGAUACGGCCGAUUCGAUGCCGAUUUCGAUCCCUUUUUUUUACUCAGAUUAUUGUCGGCAUUCUGCAGAAUUUCAAUCAACGAAUAAUGGUGCCAUCAGCAUUUAGAUCGAUUCAAAAUGGGUGACGUCUUGAGUUGUGAUGAUGGACAGAGAAAACAGUAAAUAUGUUUGAUUUAAUGUCUCUCAGUUCUUUCUUAUGCCUUCAAUUUUUCAUUGUUCUUUUGGAUUCGUUUAUCAUUUCAUUAUCUUCACCAUUUGAUCUAUCCAUAUUUUGGAUUAUUCACUGAAUAGGACGUAAAUGUUUUGUAUUAAACAGACAGCAGAGGACUACUAGAAAUCUUUAUUUACAGAAACUACCAUUAUUGGUUAAUUCGUCAAGGAUGAGAGGUCGGAAUAUACUCUGAGAUGGCUUAAACUUUGCUUUGGGAGGACUAAAUGGGGAAAAUAAGCUCAACUGGUCAAAUUAAUGUGACAGGAUGGCACAGUUUUUAUGAAGAUGAUUGAGAUAUAUUCCAUAUUUUGAUGUUUAAACAGUUAGCCUCAGAAAUAUUUUUCAUUUAAUUUAUUCCUUCUACCAAGAUUUGUUGUUCUCCAUGGAUGUGAACCUCCCUAUAUUUGUUAUGUUUGCAAUGCUUGAAGGUGAAUCUGUAUAAAGAAUUUAAACAUAAAUAUUUUUCUAACAUUUAGCCACACGAAUAUUUUUCAUUUAAUUAAUUCCUUUUACCCAGAUUCCUUGUUCUACAUGCAUGUGAACAUCUCUAUAUUUGUUAUGUUUGCAAUGCUUGAAGGUGAAUCUGUAUAAAGAAUUUAAACAUAAAUAUUCUUCUGAC
This 1306-nucleotide long non-coding RNA is filed under the name Musa acuminata (dwarf banana). RNAcentral describes it as "long non-coding RNA (MACU_LNC001773)". The stretch from base 214 to 339 matches the Rfam family "MIR162_1 microRNA precursor family", at positions 1 to 92 of the family's 112-position model. Lineage: Eukaryota; Viridiplantae; Streptophyta; Magnoliopsida; Zingiberales; Musaceae. The record is from RNAcentral.